This 440-nucleotide ribosomal RNA is filed under the name uncultured bacterium. RNAcentral's name for it is "partial 16S ribosomal RNA". It matches the Rfam family "Bacterial small subunit ribosomal RNA", at positions 338 to 795 of the family's 1533-position model. The record is from RNAcentral.
CCUACGGGAGGCAGCAGUGGGGAAUAUUGCACAAUGGGCGAAACCCUGACGCAGCGACGCCGCGUGAGCGAUGAAGUAUUUCGGUAUGUAAAGCUCUAUUAGCAGGGAAGAAAAUGACGGUACGUGACUAGGUAGCACUGGAUAACUAUGUGCCAGCAACCGCGGUAAUACGUACGGGGCAAGAGUUAGACGGAUUUACUGGGUGUAAAGGGAGCGGAGACGGCGGUGCAAGCCAGAUGUGAAAGGCCGGGGCUCAAUCCCGGGAAUGCAUUGGGAACUGUGUCGCUAGAGUGUCGGAGAGGCAGGCGGAAUUCCUAGUGUAGCGGUGAAAUGCGUAGAGAUUAGGAGGAACACCGGUGGCGAAGGCGGCCUGCUGGACGGUAACUGACGUUGAGGCUCGAAAGCGUGGGGAGCAAACAGGAUUAGAUACCCCUGUAGUC